RNAcentral lists this unclassified non-coding RNA (456 nucleotides) under Hevea brasiliensis (rubber tree). Lineage: Eukaryota; Viridiplantae; Streptophyta; Magnoliopsida; Malpighiales; Euphorbiaceae. The record is from RNAcentral.
GUAAAAGACAACUUUCAAUAUGGAAGCAGAAAACAAUGACGAGACAAAGACAGAUUAAGAAACAGGAAAAAUUGUGAAUUUUUUUUUAUCAAGCUUAAAUAGUGAAUAUUCAUCAGCAUAACAACAAAAGUACUUAAAUUGCUAGAAAGCUGGACGAAGGCAAGAAAUCACUACAUGGUGGUUUCUUGUUAGGCUAACAGUUGUUUCAUAGAAAUUUCUAUAGCAGAUAACAUAGAAAUUGGAGAGCCCUUUUUUAUUAGUUUUAGACUUUUCUAUUGGCGUCUUCUUUUUUGCACCUUUCUGCGCCCGUACUAGGAAACAAAUGAAUACAAAGUUAAUUUCAUUUGCAAAUCAAUUAAUGAAUUCUCAUUUUGGUAUAAAUCACUACCAAGGUAUUUUGUUGUUAGGCUAACAGCUGCCUCAGAGAAAUUCUAAAGCAGGUAAACAUAGGGAUUA